GACGAACGCUGGCGGCGUGCUUAACACAUGCAAGUCGAACGGGUCUGCCCUGUUUUUUGCGGGGUGGGUCAGUGGCGAACGGGUGAGUAACGCGUGAGUAACCUGCCCCUCACUUCUGGAUAACCGCUUGAAAGGGUGGCUAAUACGGGGUGUUCUGGCUGUGCCGCAUGGUGUGGCUGGGAAAGAUUCACUUUUGUGGUGUUUUGGUGGGGGAUGGGCUCGCGGCCUAUCAGCUUGUUGGUGGGGUGAUGGCCUGCCAAGGCUUUGACGGGUAGCCGGCCUGAGAGGGUGGGCGGUCACACUGGGACUGAGAUACGGCCCAGACUCCUGCGGGAGGCAGCAGUGGGGGGUAGUGCACAAUGGGCGGAAGCCUGAUGCAGCGACGUCGCGUGAGGGAUGGAGGCCUUCGGGUUGUGAACCUCUUUCGCCGGUGAAGAAGGUCCUGCUCUUUGGGGUGGGGUUGACGGUAGCCGGGUUAUGAAGCGCCGGCUAACUACGUG
RNAcentral lists this ribosomal RNA (500 nucleotides) under uncultured bacterium. RNAcentral describes it as "partial 16S ribosomal RNA". It matches the Rfam family "Bacterial small subunit ribosomal RNA", at positions 28 to 507 of the family's 1533-position model. The record is from RNAcentral.